Molecule: long non-coding RNA, 753 nt
Organism: Amphibalanus amphitrite
Lineage: Eukaryota; Metazoa; Arthropoda; Thecostraca; Balanomorpha; Balanidae
Exons: 3
Source: RefSeq, a predicted model, not a curated record
UCGCGCUUCAGUUUGAAACGAGUGAUGCGGGGAUGUGUGGAGACUGGAGGUGGUGUGAGAUGAAGAUGGAGCCUGCCGCGGGAUCAUCACAGAUGUGGAAAGAGUUCGGUAGACUGACAGGCUGGGAAGGAGAUGUCAAAGCCGACUGCGCACAGCGUCUCCGAGACGUGUUGGACCGCGUGAAGUUGGAGACCGGCUGUGGAGAUGAUACUGUGUCAGCUCUGCUGUCGCUGCUGGGUGAGGACGACGCGGUGUUCCCAACAAACAUGGAGGCGUGGCCUUGUAUUGUGGGCGAGAACCUGUGUGUGGAAAAAAACGGAGGUCGUGAAGACGAACGUGCUAAGCAGCCAGGACAAACUGCUCCUGUGGGGAAUCGUUUUCUCCGUCCUGUCACAGACAAUGACAUUCACGGCAUGCCAGUGUACGGCCACCCUCAUGAACGUUCAUGUGCUGAGGGCGGAUGAGAUAGGCUCCAUGCCAAAGAGGCUCCGAGCUGCCUGGAGUAGGCUGACUGCUCCAACUAAGUAGGUGACAAAAAGAUGACGUUCAGUUGAGUUCAUGAGCCUGCUUUCCUGUUCAUUGUGACUUGUGAGUUAGGGCUCCAGGCGGCGCGGAGUCUCUUUACCAUAGUGCUUUGGUUAUCAUACCAAGAUUGUUUAGAAAAAACAGAGUCCGGUGACCACCCGUGCACUUGAGAAAGCGCCACUCACAGUUGCCGCAAUUUUUGUUAAUAACAUUUGUUUAUUGCUCGUC